Unclassified non-coding RNA from Macaca mulatta (Rhesus monkey), 148 nucleotides. It matches the Rfam family "Metazoan signal recognition particle RNA". From Rfam's summary of the family: The signal recognition particle (SRP) is a universally conserved ribonucleoprotein. It is involved in the co-translational targeting of proteins to membranes. The record is from Ensembl. Lineage: Eukaryota; Metazoa; Chordata; Mammalia; Primates; Cercopithecidae.
GCCGGGCGUGGUGGUGCAUGCCUGUAAUCCCAGCUACUCGGGAGGCUGAGGCACAAGAAUCGUUUGAACCCAGGAGGCAGAGGUUGCAGUGAGCCGAGAUUGUGCCACUGCACUCUAGCCUGGGUGACAAAGCGAGACUCUGUCUCAA